CCUCGGACGACUUGGCGCUCCGGGACAGCAGCAGACGCCCAAGCUCCGGCAGCGCAGAGCCCCGCCGGGGGCCCGGGGGGCUGGGAGCCGGGGAUCGCGGGGACGGAAGUGGGGGACCGAGUCUCGCGAGCCCGGGCCCUCCUCGCAGCUGGGGCCCCACUGGCGCCCCCGCGGGAGCGCUACGGGAGAGGCGCCUAUGCGGCUGCAGGUUUUAUUAUGGAGCUGUCAAGGUAGAAAGGUACGGAGAACGGGAACCCACCGACAGCCAACUUCCCUUGGGACCCGCCUUUUGCUUUAAAAACAACAACGACAAGUCUGUGCUUCACCCCACACAUGCCUUUCGUUUUCCCUUUUUUCCCAGAGUAAUUUUAAAGCAUCCCAGUGGAUAAAUUCUCCUUUAAAUACUCGAGUAUGUUUAAUCAGUAAGGCCUAUUUUUUUAAACAUUCUCAUAGUAUUACGGUCACACCUAACGAAAUUGGCAAUUCCCAGUCCGGGCCUGAGGGAGGCCUGAUGGUUCACAAGACUUGGUAAAAUAUAUCAUUAUAUUUUAAACCAAAAAAUAAAUGAUAAGGCACCUCCCCGUUCCCAACCACCAAAUCAUCCGAAUGGACUUCUUCCUCAGCCAGGACUUUUAGAAUUUAACCUGAAAAACUGGUUCAGGCCAUAAGGGGAAGUGGAGGCCGAACAUGCCUCAUUAUCCCUCUCCUGCAUUAACAUCAACACAGACUUUAAGUCUGAUAAGAAACAUUUUACAGCCUCUUCUCUCUGAAGCCUGCUACCCUAUCCGAAUACUUCAUCUGCGUGAUAAAACACAUUGGUCUCCACAACCUCUUAACCCAGACAUUCCUUUCUUUAAUCCCAGGUCUUUGGACAAACUCAACCAAUUGUCAACCAGAAAAUGUUUAAGUUGACCUAUACCCUAGAACCACCCUCCCCCUCUUUGAGUUUUCCUGCCUUUCUGGAUCAAACAAAUUUAUUUCUUAAAUGAACUUAACUUGAAGUCUCAUGCCUCCUCAGAAUGUAUUAAACCAAGCUGCACCCCGACCUCCUUGGGCACAUGUUCUCAAGACCUCCUGAAGGCUGUGUCACUGGCUGUGGUCACUCAUAUUUGGCUCACAAUAAAUCUCUUCAAAUAUUUUACAGAGUUUGACUCUUCCACAAUAAUUUGGCACCCAGCGUGGGGCCUCAGAGAAGACUCAGGACCCCAAAGGAGUUGCCUGAACUCGGAGCGAAGAUACCAGUGGGGCCCAUUGAAGCCUCCCAGACUUCUAGCUUCUCCCCCGAUGGAACUGGUUAAGUUCUCCUGAGCCCCAGAUCGCCCUUUGGUUGACAGUCCUUCGUUUAGUGUGAGCUGGUUUUUCUCCUAGGAAGUUGUUGUUUAAGGAUUCUAAUUCUAGUUCAGAGACACAUUCUAAAGGGUUUUCUUUAUUGCUUUUUCUCCCAAAAUUAAUCUUGAUUCGGCUUGUCUGCGCAUUUGUGUGAGGAAUUGAACUGUUGUUUUCAUAGGUAAAUGAGAGACUGAGUUUUCUCAACUCCAAAGAGAAAGGCAUUUGCUCCUCCCAGCCAAAACGUGCUCCUGGGUGACUGGGGGCCUUGUGGGAGUGUCUGGGGGGGGGUUGACAUCCUGUGACAUGCAGCAGCCCUAUGGGGAAAUCCCCAACAAAAAUUAAUUUUAAAAAUGGCUUGUCCAGGAAUGCAUAUAAGGACUGAUCACCCAUCAUUUUGAGCCCUCUCAAAGGUAAUAGACCUCUGGAGAGAGAAACUGAGACAUGUAACAGGGUGGAAACAACUCAGUGGUGACACAUGGUGGGGUCCUGCCCACAAGCAGCACACAUUGAUCCACCACACAAAAACCCUAGGCCACAGCUCAGUUCCUACUUCUAAGAAAAAAAAAGGUGGGAAACAAAUGAUCUAAGAAUGAGGAGAAAACAAGGAGAAUGACCUCAUUUCGGGCACUCUGUUGGUUUUAUGGUGCGUCUACUUGCCAGAGCUUAUGUAAAAUGGAAAUAUAAUGAUCCUUGUGCACAUUUACAUUAAGGAAAAGAGCCCUAAGGUCAACCUGUACACUAUAGAGUUCCUAAGUUCUCUUCUUCUCUAUAUUUUCUGCCUGCUUUAAAUCUGCUUUUACUUUUGUACUGAAAUUAAAAACCACUGUUUGGAUC
This 2163-nucleotide long non-coding RNA is filed under the name Homo sapiens (human). RNAcentral describes it as "HSALNT0314324". The record is from RNAcentral. Lineage: Eukaryota; Metazoa; Chordata; Mammalia; Primates; Hominidae.